This is a long non-coding RNA of Lutra lutra (Eurasian river otter), 201 nucleotides long. RefSeq lists it as uncharacterized. The transcript has 3 exons. The record is from RefSeq and is a predicted model, not a curated record. NCBI's taxonomy places the organism in Eukaryota, Metazoa, Chordata, Mammalia, Carnivora, Mustelidae.
GAAGUCUCUAAGGCCUGAAUUUGAGGAGAGAGAGGAGCAGAGAGAAGUGGGGAGAACUAUGGUUGCCAAAAGCAGUGGCAGCAGGAAAGCAAGAGCAGGGGAAAUGCCCAGUCCCACCACACUCCAGGACUGAGCUAUAGGAAACAGGAUACAGUGGAAAAAAGACAGUCUCUUCAAUAAAUGGUGCUGGGAAAACUGGAC